AACGAACGCUGGCGGCGUGGAUAAGACAUGCAAGUCGAACGGAACUACUUUUAGUAGCAAUACCGAGAGUAGUUUAGUGGCGAACGGGUGCGUAACACGUGGGCAAUCUGCCGAGAAGUGGGGGAUAGCUCGCCGAAAGGCGAAUUAAUACCGCAUGUGAUGAGAGGCGACAUCGUCUUGAAAUCAAAGCCGGGGCAACCUGGCGCUUUUGAGGAGCCCGCGGCCUANCAGCUUGUUGGUGAGGUAACGGCUCACCAAGGCUUUGACGGGUAGCUGGUCUGAGAGGACGACCAGUCACACUGGAACUGAGACACGGUCCAGACACCUACGGGUGGCAGCAGUCGAGUAAUUUUUCUC
This 357-nucleotide ribosomal RNA is filed under the name uncultured bacterium. RNAcentral describes it as "bacterial SSU rRNA". It matches the Rfam family "Bacterial small subunit ribosomal RNA", at positions 29 to 369 of the family's 1533-position model. The record is from RNAcentral.